AUUGAACGCUGGCGGCGUGCUUAACACAUGCAAGUCGAGCGGUAACAGGCGUAGCAAUACGUGCUGACGAGCGGCGAACGGGUGCGCAAUACAUCGGAAUCUGCCUCGUAGUGGGGAAUAACCCGGCGAAAGCCGGGCUAAUGCCGCAUACGAUCCACGGAUGAAAGCGGGGGACCGUAAGGCCUCGCGCUAUGAGAUGAGCCGAUGUCGGAUUAGCUAGUUGGUGAGGUAACGGCUCACCAAGGCGACGAUCCGUAGCUGGUCUGAGAGGACGGCCAGCCACACUGGGACUGAGACACGGCCCAGACUCCUACGGGAGGCAG
RNAcentral lists this ribosomal RNA (323 nucleotides) under uncultured Pseudomonadota bacterium. RNAcentral's name for it is "bacterial SSU rRNA". It matches the Rfam family "Bacterial small subunit ribosomal RNA", at positions 29 to 351 of the family's 1533-position model. The record is from RNAcentral. Lineage: Bacteria; Pseudomonadati; Pseudomonadota.